Molecule: ribosomal RNA, 255 nt
Filed under: uncultured bacterium
Lineage: Bacteria
Description: partial 16S ribosomal RNA
Rfam family: Bacterial small subunit ribosomal RNA
Source: RNAcentral
UACGUAGGGUGCAAGCGUUGUCCGGAAUUAUUGGGCGUAAAGAGCUCGUAGGCGGUUUGUCGCGUCGAAUGUGAAAUCCCGGGGCUCAACCCCGGAACUGCAUUCGAUACUGCUGCGCUAGAGUACUGGAGAGGAGAUUGGAAUUCACGGUGUAGCAGUGAAAUGCGUAGAUAUCGUAAGGAAGACCAGUGGCGAAGGCGGAUCUCUGGACAGUUACUGACACUGAGGCACGAAGGCCAGGGGAGCAAACGGGAU